AAUGCAAUGAGAUUGCUUACAUAUCCAGGUGUUAAACCGUAUCAGUAACAGCCUCUGUAUGCAACAGUACGUCUAAUAAUGACAUAAAAUGAUUAUGUGUUUUUACUGAUUAGCCUUGUUGCCCGUUUCACUAUUUUGUCCUGAAACAUCCUCUUUCUUGUUUUUGUGGAGAUCUUCCCCAUGCUUGUCUACUGCUUACGUCUGAUCGCUGUGGCUGUCUGUUGUAAGCACGCUUUGGGUGAACGUCUGCUUGUAUGACAGGAUGCUCCUUGUUACCCCGUGUCUCUCUCCUUCAUCCCAUGACCUAGACAUGGAUUUGCUAAUUCAUUUGAAUGUGCUCUCAGCAAUUUAAAAACAAGCGUGAUUAAAGACACAAAGUGACUUUCCCGUGGCUCACCGUUUGUGCCGGUGUUUUUUUUAUUUGAAAAGUGUGAUAGAUAGAUGAUAACUGCCACUUUAUCGUUCGUAUUUUUCAUCAGUUUGUUUUAGUAAAAGAUCUUAAUUAAGUCCUUCUUUCAAGUAUCUCAUUACCCAAUCAAAAAGCAUUGCAACAGCCAAAUACCAAUCAGGAGUUAAUCCAAUAGGCUGUUUUCCUGCUCUAUUGUUUUUAUGCAACACAUACACACACACACACAUCAGUUUGUGAGUUUGGUGACUUAAAUGUUUUAAAUGUAUACAUGUACCAUGAUCAUGUGGACACACCAACUUCUUCAACAAUUAAUGUAACGUUGUCUCUACAGCUGGCGCAAGACAAGCAUCAGUCCUGACGAAAGAAUGCAGGUCAAAAAGGCUAAAGGGAACAAACACACACACAUGCACACACACAUAUGCACACACACACACACACACGCGCGCACACACACACAUACUCACAUACACACACAUACAUGCACACGCACACAAACACACGCACACACACACGCACACACACAUACUCACAUACACAGACAUACAUGCACACGCACACAAACACACGUACAGACAUGCACACACACACACACACACACACGUACACACAGACAGACACACAGACACACAGAAAGAAUGGAAACAAAGGGAGAACAAUCUCAAGGCCAUCUGC
This is a long non-coding RNA of Clupea harengus (Atlantic herring), 1081 nucleotides long. The record is from Ensembl. Lineage: Eukaryota; Metazoa; Chordata; Actinopteri; Clupeiformes; Clupeidae.